RNAcentral lists this ribosomal RNA (253 nucleotides) under uncultured bacterium. RNAcentral's name for it is "partial 16S ribosomal RNA". It matches the Rfam family "Bacterial small subunit ribosomal RNA", at positions 524 to 776 of the family's 1533-position model. The record is from RNAcentral.
UACGUAGGGUGCGAGCGUUAAUCGGAAUUACUGGGCGUAAAGCGUGCGCAGGCGGCUUUGUAAGACAGAUGUGAAAUCCCCGGGCUCAACCUGGGAACUGCGUUUGUGACUGCGAGGCUAGAGUUUGGCAGAGGGGGGUGGAAUUCCACGUGUAGCAGUGAAAUGCGUAGAGAUGUGGAGGAACACCGAUGGCGAAGGCAGCCCCCUGGGAUGACACUGACGCUCAUGCACGAAAGCGUGGGGAGCAAACAGG